Molecule: long non-coding RNA, 613 nt
Organism: Balaenoptera acutorostrata (minke whale)
Lineage: Eukaryota; Metazoa; Chordata; Mammalia; Artiodactyla; Balaenopteridae
Exons: 3
Source: RefSeq, a predicted model, not a curated record
CCUGACCGCUCCCGCGGGAGGGCCUGGGGGUCGGGUACCGCUGGACACAGGCUGCAGAACACCAGGCCCCCUUCUGAGUGACCCCAUACGACGGGCUGAAGGCUGCAGCACAGGCCAGGUGCCCUAAAAUUGCAGGAGAUGCAGCUAAUGGAGGCUACUAGUGGGAGCAGAAGUGAGCACCCUGCCUCGGCUUGCACACCAACUCUCCCCACCGUCCCCUACCGCCCAUGCUGGGCUCCGCCGACAGUCGCCCUGUCCCAGCCCACCCUGCAGGCCUCCGAGGCUCCCUGAGUCCUCCCUCCGACGCAGAUUCGUCCCUGGGGCCAAGAGGCCAGUCUGAAGAGGGAAAGGAGAAGGGGAGAGUGAUCCUCCUGUGGCGGCCAAGGAAGAUCUUCUGGCAGAGGCCAGAGUUCAGAACAGGACAACGUGAGCGCUGUUUACCCUGCCACCUGCCCUCUACGCUGAAGCCACGCAGCAGGCAGGCUAGAAGGUGCCUUCGAAGUCAUAAACGGACAUUCUCAGAUCAAGAAAGAAGGCGAGAGGCAUUUAGAGGAAAAAAGCUCAAGCGUGGUGGCAGGCAGACGUGUGCUGAGUCCUGCAUGGCCUAAGAGAG